AGCGGACUCAAACUAGAAAGCACCCGGAGCGCCAUCCCGUCCUCGCGCACUCUCAGUCCCCCCCAGCCCUGCUUUGAGCCGAGUCCGGGGCCUACUGGCACAAGAGCCGCUGGCGCCCGGGGUGCGGGCAUUUCCGCGCGCUGGCUCUCUGUAGCCCUCGGUGAUGCUGUCUUGCUGCCCGGGGUUGGCGCGGGCGGAAGGCGGGUGCCCUCAGGCCUAACAGGGGUCGACCGAGACCCGGCGCUGCCGCGUGGGCUUCUUGCUGCCUCUGGCGUUCCAGCCGCUGGCAGCGCCACAGGACAAAGGGCCUGGGCACGGGUGUUCCGAAGUCCGCGAGAGUGACUUCCUCUCUGGCCCAUGGCGUUUCGCUGCCGGCGUAUCCUGAGCCCGCCCAGCCGCCGUCACCGCACCAGGGGCACCGGCUGCGUGGGACCGAUAGGGCUAAUACUGCCUUGCGGAACUAGGAUCCGGACUUGGUCUUAGGGGAGCCCCCAACCCCCAGCCUUCGCUCCUAUUGUUCUGGGACCCAGGUGCGCCCGGACUGGAGGUGGCCGCGUCCAUCUCGCGACCUGCUCUGGAGCGCUGACGAGGAAGCCCGGGUCCUCAGGGUAGGGGCGCCCGGCCCCAACUCGCUAAAGAUAGCCCUGCACUUCCUGGGGAAAAACCACCCUGCAACCGUCUUGUGGGCCGCAAGCAGCUGAAGUCCAGCGGGGCCCAGUUCUGCUGCCAAGAGUCCCGGCUGUGCACCCGCGGCACCCGCGGCGCAGAAAGUGCUUUGGAAUGACACGAUCACUCCCGUUGAGUGGGCACCCAAGAAGCCAUCGGGAAUGUCGUGUCCGCCCAGUGCUCUUUCGGCACCUUCCAGCAGAAGUCCACAGCCCUGGCUGGGAAAGGGCCUUACUAAGUAGAGUCUUCUUAGAUUUCCUUCCUCUAUGAGUUGCAGGCUUCCACUUACCUGCAGAGAUGCAGCUUGGGUUCAGUCUGUUAGGAGGGUGGGUGGGGCUUGUAUUCCAUCGAAAUGGAAAUUUUGGAAACCCUCUUGGGACAGAAGAAAGGACUUUCCCACUGGUAGAAGAGCAGGCUCUGCCUACUGAGGUCUGGCCAAAUCCUCUCAUGAUCACUUUGUUUGAACUGGCCCAAACAGGUUUGUUGCCUACAUCAAGAAGCCUUUUAGGAUUGAUCGCUGGUUAAAGUACAGUGCACCAGGAUAAAGUAAAAACAUAAGUGGCUGGUAAUUCUAGCCAAGUGUGGUGUCGAAUUGAGAUUCAUUCCCUGCUCAGGUGGGAGGCUGAGAUUCUCCACGUGUUUAAAGCCAGCCUGAAUAAUAGCCAAACCCUGUCUAAAAAAGUAAAUUCUGGAAACCAUAUGAAGCUUCUACUUCCUUAGGUAUGAAAAGAAGAUGGACAAUUUGAUCAAAUUGUUGUAUUUAUUAGAAAUAACAUGCCAGGUGUGGUGGUGCAUGCCUGUAAUCCCAGUGCUCCAGAGGCUGAGUGAGGAAGAUUGCUGAUUGAAGCCAGCCUAGACUACAUAAGAAGACCCUAUCUCAAAAGAAGACCCUGUAUUUCAAACGAGGAAAGAAACCAGAAACUACCAAAGAAUAUGAGAUUUUUAUUAAACCCAGAGUCUUUCAGUGAACUACAUCACCAGCCUUUAGUCUUUACUUCCCUGUGAGCUACAUAGUGGAUUCAAGGGCAGCCUAAACUAUAUUCAGAGACCCUGUCUCAAGCAAAACAAAACAAGUUAAUUUGCUCAGGCUGCAGUUAAUCUUUUGAUCAUCCUGUCUCAGCCUCCUAGAAUGCUGAGAUUACAGGCACUUUCUAUAAUGCCCUGCUAAAGAUAAGAUAAAUAAAAGUAGUGAAAGAA
Long non-coding RNA from Cavia porcellus (domestic guinea pig), 1863 nucleotides. RefSeq lists it as uncharacterized. The record is from RefSeq and is a predicted model, not a curated record. NCBI's taxonomy places the organism in Eukaryota, Metazoa, Chordata, Mammalia, Rodentia, Caviidae. The transcript has 2 exons.